AGGCGCGGUGCUGAGAGACGUGGGGCUGGGAUUCUGUGCUCGGCCUUUGGCCGUGCCGCCCCACUGCCUGGCUGCUGAGUGUCGUUCCUGCCGCUGAGGGGGAAACCGAGCUCUGUGGCUCCUGGGUGUCGCCGCCCCGCCUGUAAUCAGGGUCUGGAGGUGAGAGCCUUUGUGCUCUGCUGGCAGCAUGUGUGGGGCGACCGCCUCGUUAGCGGGGUGCUGGUCAAGAUGCCCCUGGCUGGGAGAGAGGGAGCCUCCCUUGGCCUCUGGGACCUGGGCUGCCCUGUAAGUCAGGGUGUGGCGAUGCCCUUGAGUCCCAGGCCCUUUGCGAUGGAUGCGGCGGGUUGGGGCGCCCUGUAAGCAGGGGAGCCGACCCUCAGCCCGCUGCUUUGUGUGCCCAGCCUUCUUUGCCCAGGGUGCCCCCCUCUGCGGCCUGCUGCAGCACCGUUGGGAACCCCGCGGGGCAUCAGUAGGGAGCUGCUGCAGGAGGAAGGCGGCAAAGCGGUGCGUGGACCUGGGAGGAAGGAGCGAGCAAGAAGAGGAGCCGGAGCCUGCGGAUGGGCCAAGGAGAGGCGCCCUGGGCAAAAGCAUCUCCCUGUCACCAGGGACACAGUCAUGUUGCAGUAGAGCUUUGCCGGCACUCUGGAUGACCGGGCCGGCUUUGUGCUGGGCGACCUCCCUGUAACCAGGGCUCGGGUCUUUGCUGUAGUUGGCCUUUUGCCUCGUUGCUCCUUUGGCUGCCUGGGGAACGUGGGCCCCUGUAGGAAGGGCGAGAGCCACGUCCUCCGCACCCGAGUGGGGAAAUGGAGCUCGCUGGACCCCACGGCCCCCUGUAAGCAGGGUAGUGCCGUUUCCCUGCCGCUCUUGGUUUGGCCGCUCGGCGUUGUUGCCUGCUGGUGGCCUUGCCCGUGUGACGACCCUGUACUCGGGGUGCUUGUUCUGCUAUAUGGCCUUGGGCCUUUACGUGAGAAGCCCCGUGGCACGUUGAGGUCUGUGGCCUCCGUGCAGCCUGGGGGCGGGUCAGAGGCUCUUGUCUGCUUGCUCGCGGGGUACGGGGUUUUUUUUCCCCAGGCCUUGGCUGCACUGCCUUCUCCUUCCCUUCUGGAAAGCUGGUAUCUGUGUGUGUGCGUUCCCCUUCCUUCCCUUGUUUGUGUUUGCGUGUGAGCGAUGGUGCGAUUGAACCUUCCCUUUAGGCCUCCAUGAAAACAGCUGCAGCUUAGCUUUGGCUUCCCGGGGGGGAAUGGAGGACUUGGUGGAUGCAGCAAGGGGGAUGUUCCCUCUCAGUCCCGCGAGCGGCGCGAGUGUCCUCCUGUCUUGCCCCCUUUUUUUGCUAGGACGUUGCGGAGCCGUGUGGUAGUUGUGGGGCUGAGGCCACCCUGUAUCCAGGGCUUGGGUCUGUGC
Molecule: long non-coding RNA, 1401 nt
Organism: Gallus gallus (chicken)
Lineage: Eukaryota; Metazoa; Chordata; Aves; Galliformes; Phasianidae
Exons: 2
Source: RefSeq, a predicted model, not a curated record